GGGGUUGACUGGUUUUGACAGCAUGAUGAAGGGUCAUGUAAGCAUGUCGGGUUUUGCAAGACUAUCCGUAAUAAGUGUUGCAACGUUUUAGUUGGCGAAAACAACUACGCACUCGCAGCUUAAUCCGAAUAAAGUAGGAUGGCUUUAUCGAUGCACUAGGUGUAUUCGACGAGUCCUUUCGCUUUGAAGUACGCUUUACACUUCAGAGAUUUGAGAGGUCAUCGAGUAAAGCUGGGAAAAAUAGAGCUUCGAUGUUUUUCUGAGAUUAAGAAGAUAAGUUCAAAGUUUGGAUGCUUGUAACCGAACUUGAAUCGAAAACCAAAAACAAGAUAAACAUGUAGAAGGCAUCAUUGUUCCAUGUUUGGACGCGGGUUCGAUUCCCGCCAACUCCACAA
This 395-nucleotide transfer-messenger RNA is filed under the name Flavobacteriales bacterium. It matches the Rfam family "transfer-messenger RNA". From Rfam's summary of the family: Bacterial tmRNA, also known as 10Sa RNA or SsrA, is named for its dual tRNA and mRNA-like properties. Its role is to liberate the mRNA from a stalled ribosome. The record is from RNAcentral. Lineage: Bacteria; Pseudomonadati; Bacteroidota; Flavobacteriia; Flavobacteriales. RNAcentral also lists the same sequence under 1 other name.